UACGUAGGUUGCAAGCGUUAUUCGGAUUUACUGGGCGUAAAGCGCACCGAGGUGGCACCUUAAGUUGGAUGUAAAAUCUCUCGGCUUAACCGGGAGGCGCCAUUCAAUACUGAGGAGCUCGAGGUCAGCAGGGGAAAGCGGAAUUCCCGGUGUAGUGGUGGAAUGCGUAGAGAUCGGGAGGAACACCAGUGGCGAAAGCGGCUUUCUGGGCUGCACCUGACACCCAAGUGCUAAAGCGUGGGGAGCAAACAGG
Molecule: ribosomal RNA, 253 nt
Filed under: uncultured bacterium
Lineage: Bacteria
Description: partial 16S ribosomal RNA
Rfam family: Bacterial small subunit ribosomal RNA
Source: RNAcentral